UGAGAGGUAGAGUAGACUGUAUGUAGGACAGGGAAACAGAGUGAGGGGUAGAGUAGACUGUAGGUAUGACAAUGAAACAGAGUGAGAGGUAGAGUAGACUGUAUGUAUGACAGGUAAACAGAGUGAGGGGUAGAGUAGACUGUAGGUAUGACAGGGAAACACAGUGAGGGGUAGAGUAGACUGUAGGUAUGACAGGGAAAUAGAGUGAGGGGUAGAGUAGACUGUAUGUAUGACAAGGAAACAGAGUGAGGGGUAGAGUAGACUGUAGGUAUGACAGGGAAACACAGUGAGGGGUAGAGUAGACUGUAGGUAUGACAGGGAAAUAGAGUGAGGGGUAGAGUAGACUGUAUGUAUGACAGGUAAACAGAGUGAGGGGUAGAGUAGACUGUAGGUAUGACAGGGAAACACAGUGAGGGGUAGAGUAGACUGUAGGUAUGACAGGUAAACAGAGUGAGGGGUAGAGUAGACUGUAUGUAUGACAGGUAAACAGAGUGAGGGGUAGAGUAGACUGUAUGUAUGACAAGGAAAUAGAGUGAGGGGUAGAGUAGACUGUAUGUAUGACAAGGAAACAGAGUGAGAGGCAGAGUAGACUGUAUGUAUGACAGGGGAACAGAGUGAGAGGUAGAGUAGACUGUAGGUAUGACAGGGAAACAGAGUGAGGUGUAGAGUAGACUGUAGGUAUGACAGGGAAACAGAGUGAGGGGUAGAGUAGACUGUAGGUAUGACAGGUAAACAGAGUGAGAGGUAGAGUAGACUGUAGGUAUGACAGGGAAACAGAGUGAGGGGUAGAGUAGUAUGAUAGGGAAACAGAGUGAGGGGUAGAGUAGACUGUAUGAAUGACAGGGACACAGAGUGAGAGGUAGAGUAGACUGUAUAUAUGACAGGUAAACAGAGUGAGGGGUAGAGUAGACUGAAGGUAUGACAGGGAAACACAGUGAGGGGUAGGGUAGACUGUAGGUAUGACAGGGAAAUAGAGUGAGGGGUAGAGUAGACUGUAUGUAUGACAAGGAAACAGAGUGAGGGGUAGAGUAGACUGUAGGUAUGACAGGGAAACACAGUGAGGGGUAGAGUAGACUGUAGGUAUGACAGGGAAAUAGAGUGAGGGGUAGAGUAGACUGUAUGUAUGACAGGUAAACAGAGUGAGGGGUAGAGUAGACUGUAGGUAUGACAGGGAAACACAGUGAGGGGUAGAGUAGACUGUAGGUAUGACAGGUAAACAGAGUGAGGGGUAGAGUAGACUGUAUGUAUGACAGGUAAACAGAGUGAGGGGUAGAGUAGACUGUAUGUAUGACAAGGAAAUAGAGUGAGGGGUAGAGUAGACUGUAUGUAUGACAAGGAAACAGAGUGAGAGGCAGAGUAGACUGUAUGUAUGACAGGGGAACAGAGUGAGAGGUAGAGUAGACUGUAGGUAUGACAGGGAAACAGAGUGAGGGGUAGAGUAGACUGUAGGUAUGACAGGGAAACAGAGUGAGGGGUAGAGUAGACUUUAGGUAUGACAGGGAAACAGAGUGAGAGGUAGAGUA
This is a non-coding RNA of Oncorhynchus mykiss (rainbow trout), 1523 nucleotides long. The record is from RefSeq and is a predicted model, not a curated record. Lineage: Eukaryota; Metazoa; Chordata; Actinopteri; Salmoniformes; Salmonidae.